RNAcentral lists this ribosomal RNA (735 nucleotides) under uncultured Fusobacterium sp. RNAcentral's name for it is "bacterial SSU rRNA". It matches the Rfam family "Bacterial small subunit ribosomal RNA", at positions 28 to 776 of the family's 1533-position model. The record is from RNAcentral. Lineage: Bacteria; Fusobacteriati; Fusobacteriota; Fusobacteriia; Fusobacteriales; Fusobacteriaceae.
GGUGAACGCUGACAGAAUGCUUAACACAUGCAAGUCUACUUGAAUUUGGGUUUUUAACUUAGGUUUGGGUGGCGGACGGGUGAGUAACGCGUAAAGAACUUGCCUCACAGCUAGGGACAACAUUUAGAAAUGAAUGCUAAUACCUAAUAUUAUGAUAAUAGGGCAUCCUAUAAUUAUGAAAGCUAUAUGCGCUGUGAGAGAGCUUUGCGUCCCAUUAGCUAGUUGGAGAGGUAACGGCUCACCAAGGCGAUGAUGGGUAGCCGGCCUGAGAGGGUGAUCGGCCACAAGGGGACUGAGACACGGCCCUUACUCCUACGGGAGGCAGCAGUGGGGAAUAUUGGACAAUGGACCGAGAGUCUGAUCCAGCAAUUCUGUGUGCACGAUGAAGUUUUUCGGAAUGUAAAGUGCUUUCAGUUGGGAAGAAAGAAAUGACGGUACCAACAGAAGAAGUGACGGCUAAAUACGUGCCAGCAGCCGCGGUAAUACGUAUGUCACGAGCGUUAUCCGGAUUUAUUGGGCGUAAAGCGCGUCUAGGUGGUUAUAUAAGUCUGAUGUGAAAAUGCAGGGCUCAACUCUGUAUUGCGUUGGAAACUGUAUAACUAGAGUACUGGAGAGGUAAGCGGAACUACAAGUGUAGAGGUGAAACUCGUAGAUAUUUGUAGGAAUGCCGAUGGGGAAGCCAGCUUACUGGACAGAUACUGACGCUGAAGCGCGAAAGCGUGGGUAGCAAACAGG